Molecule: ribosomal RNA, 324 nt
Filed under: uncultured eukaryote
Lineage: Eukaryota
Description: partial 18S ribosomal RNA
Rfam family: Eukaryotic small subunit ribosomal RNA
Source: RNAcentral
CCCUUAGAUGCUCUGGGCCGCACGCGCGCUACACUGGUCGAUGCAACGAGUUUCUUUCCUUGGCCGACAGGCCUUGGCAAUCUUUGAACAUCGAUCGUGAUCGGGAUAGAUUCUUGUAAUUUUUGAUCUUAAACGAGGAAUUCCUAGUAAACGCAAGUCAUCAGCUUGCAUUGAUUACGUCCCUGCCCUUUGUACACACCGCCCGUCGCACCUACCGAUUGAAUGGUCCGGUGAAAUCUCCGGACUGGCGUGAGUCGGAGCAAUCUGACAAACACCGGAAAGUUGAUUAAACCUUACCAUUUAGAGGAAGGUGAAGUCGUAACA